Molecule: ribosomal RNA, 458 nt
Filed under: uncultured soil bacterium
Lineage: Bacteria
Description: bacterial SSU rRNA
Rfam family: Bacterial small subunit ribosomal RNA
Source: RNAcentral
UCGAGCGCGAAAGUUUUCGGACUUAGUAAAGCGGCGGACGGGUGAGUAACGCGUGGGAAUCUGCCUGGUAGUGGGGGACAACAGCCGGAAACGGCUGCUAAUACCGCAUACGCCCUACGGGGGAAAGGGGGGGAUCUUCGGACCUCUCGCUAUCAGAUGAGCCCGCGUCGGAUUAGCUUGUUGGUGAGGUAAAGGCUCACCAAGGCGACGAUCCGUAACUGGUCUGAGAGGAUGAUCAGUCACACUGGAACUGAGACACGGUCCAGACUCCUACGGGAGGCAGCAGUGGGGAAUAUUGGACAAUGGGGGCAACCCUGAUCCAGCCAUGCCGCGUGUGUGAAGAAGGCCUUAGGGUUGUAGAGCACUUUCAGUGGGGAGAAAGGUUAUUCACCUAAUACGUGAGUAGAUUGAUGCUACCCACAGAAGAAGCACCGGCUAACUCCGUGCNNNNANNNGCG